GACGAACCGUCCUAACGUUGUUCGGAAUCACUGGGCUUAAAGGGCGCGUAGGCGGGCCGCCAAGUCUGAGGUGAAAUCUUUCGGCUUAACCGGAAAAUAGCCUUGGAUACUGGCAGUCUCGAGGGUGGUAGGGGCAUGUGGAACUUCCGGUGGAGCGGUGAAAUGCGUUGAUAUCGGAAGGAACGCCGGUGGCGAAAGCGACGUGCUGGACCACUACUGACGCUGAGGCGCGAAAGCCAGGGGAGCAAACGGG
This 253-nucleotide ribosomal RNA is filed under the name uncultured bacterium. Its description in RNAcentral is "partial 16S ribosomal RNA". It matches the Rfam family "Bacterial small subunit ribosomal RNA", at positions 524 to 776 of the family's 1533-position model. The record is from RNAcentral.